GCUAUAGCUCAGUGAUAGAGCAGCUGCUUUGCAUGUAGAAGGUCCUAGGUUCAAUCCCUAGCACAGGCA
RNAcentral lists this transfer RNA (69 nucleotides) under Podarcis lilfordi (Lilford's wall lizard). Its description in RNAcentral is "tRNA.Ala". The stretch from base 5 to 61 matches the Rfam family "tRNA", at positions 8 to 63 of the family's 71-position model. Rfam says of the family: Transfer RNA (tRNA) molecules are approximately 80 nucleotides in length. Their secondary structure includes four short double-helical elements and three loops (D, anti-codon, and T loops). The record is from RNAcentral. Lineage: Eukaryota; Metazoa; Chordata; Lepidosauria; Squamata; Lacertidae.